RNAcentral lists this ribosomal RNA (235 nucleotides) under uncultured bacterium. RNAcentral's name for it is "partial 16S ribosomal RNA". It matches the Rfam family "Bacterial small subunit ribosomal RNA", at positions 96 to 334 of the family's 1533-position model. The record is from RNAcentral.
CGGCGGACGGGUGAGUAACGCGUAGGAAUCUACCCAGUAGUGGGGGACAACUUGGGGAAACUCAAGCUAAUACCGCAUACGCCCUAUGGGGGAAAGCGGGGGACCUUCGGGCCUCGUGCUAUUGGAUGAGCCUGCGUCGGAUUAGCUAGUUGGUGGGGUAAGAGCCCACCAAGGCGACGAUCCGUAGCUGGUCUGAGAGGAUGAUCAGCCACACUGGAACUGAGACACGGUCCAG